Molecule: long non-coding RNA, 842 nt
Filed under: Triticum aestivum (bread wheat)
Lineage: Eukaryota; Viridiplantae; Streptophyta; Magnoliopsida; Poales; Poaceae
Description: long non-coding RNA (TAES_LNC010558)
Source: RNAcentral
CAUAUUUUUAUUUUGUUGAAUGUGGGAGAAUAGCGAAAGGGGUACAUUUCAGUUAUCAUAUGAUUAGAAAUAUACCUUGCUCCCUAUCUUUUUGGAUAUGCACUUCUGGUAGCUAUGUGAGCUAUGGUUGUCCUGUUACAUGUACUUCUUGGGGAAGUAGCACUACUCGUCUUCAUGUACAAUGUUUAUUUAUAUGCAAGACAGAAUGACUGCAAACUUGGUUUAUAUUAGGUCUCCUUUCCAAAUAUGGUUCUAUGUUUUUUCUUUGAUGCCAGGUGACACAUUGGGCAGAACAAGGAGAGAUUGUCGAGGCGGAGCCAUGACAAUUGUGGAGUCCAUGAUCAUUAGUUCAUCAUCAACAAGCAGAAAAAGUCGGUAUAGCUUUGCCAUGGCGAGGUUCUCACCUGCUUUGCGAGUACUUUUUUUUUAUAUGCUCGAGCUUAAAAUUGGUUUUGUGGCAUCAUGGAUAAGGCAAAUAUGACAAUUGUCUCUACUGUUAUGUUUCCACUGGCCCAUUAUAACCUCUGUUUGAUAAUUUGCAACAGACUCACAUGGUAAGGGUGUCCUAAACUGAUCAUGUUUCUUGUGGAAAGCCACCUUGAAUCGAAUAUGAAUAGUGCUUUAUCAAGUUGGAUAUAAUGUCACUGCAUUGUAAAUAAAUUAUUAUAUGCUGCAAUUCUUCUUUGUUUUGGUAUAAUGUUGUAAACCUCCGCACUUUUCCCUUUCAUCAUGUCAAUCUAUCAAAUUUGAAGCGUGACCUACUGUGUUGGAUGGUUGCCGGGUUGGAUAUGACCGCACCCGGCAGGGGUGCGGGGUGCGGCAAGCUGCACUUUCCAUCUAGU